RNAcentral lists this transfer RNA (75 nucleotides) under Thermosipho africanus. Its description in RNAcentral is "tRNA-Val". It matches the Rfam family "tRNA". From Rfam's summary of the family: Transfer RNA (tRNA) molecules are approximately 80 nucleotides in length. Their secondary structure includes four short double-helical elements and three loops (D, anti-codon, and T loops). Further hydrogen bonds mediate the characteristic L-shaped molecular structure. tRNAs have two regions of fundamental functional importance: the anti-codon, which is responsible for specific mRNA codon recognition, and the 3' end, to which the tRNAs corresponding amino acid is attached (by aminoacyl-tRNA synthetases). tRNAs cope with the degeneracy of the genetic code in two manners: having more than one tRNA (with a specific anti-codon) for a particular amino acid; and 'wobble' base-pairing, i.e. permitting non-standard base-pairing at the 3rd anti-codon position. RNAcentral also lists the same sequence under 13 other names. The record is from RNAcentral. Lineage: Bacteria; Thermotogati; Thermotogota; Thermotogae; Thermotogales; Fervidobacteriaceae.
GGGUGCGUAGCUCAGUGGGAGAGCGCUUCCUUGACGCGGAAGAGGCCGCAGGUUCAAUCCCUGCCGCACCCACCA